CCUACGGGAGGCUGCAGUAGGGAAUAUUGCUCAAUGGGGGAAACCCUGAAGCAGCAAUGCCGCGUGGAGGAUGAAGGUUUUCGGAUUGUAAACUCCUUUUGUUAGAGAAGAUAAUGACGGUAUCUAACGAAUAAGCACCGGCUAACUCCGUGCCAGCAGCCGCGGUAAUACGGAGGGUGCAAGCGUUACUCGGAAUCACUGGGCGUAAAGAGCGCGUAGGCGGGAUAGCAAGUCAGAUGUGAAAUCCUAUGGCUUAACCAUAGAACUGCAUUUGAAACUGUUAUUCUAGAGUAUGGGAGAGGUAGGUGGAAUUCUUGGUGUAGGGGUAAAAUCCGUAGAGAUCAAGAGGAAUACUCAUGGCGAAGGCGGCCUGCUGGACAUUAACUGACGCUGAGGCGCGAAAGCGUGGGGAGCAAACAGGAUUAGAUACCCCGGUAGUC
This 440-nucleotide ribosomal RNA is filed under the name uncultured bacterium. RNAcentral's name for it is "partial 16S ribosomal RNA". It matches the Rfam family "Bacterial small subunit ribosomal RNA", at positions 338 to 795 of the family's 1533-position model. The record is from RNAcentral.